GCCUGGGUGGCUCAGUCGGUUGAGCAUUGGACUUCGACUCAGGUCAUGAUCUUUCUCACGUGUGGGUUUGAGCCCCACGUCGGGCU
This 86-nucleotide transfer RNA is filed under the name Felis catus (domestic cat). It matches the Rfam family "tRNA". From Rfam's summary of the family: Transfer RNA (tRNA) molecules are approximately 80 nucleotides in length. Their secondary structure includes four short double-helical elements and three loops (D, anti-codon, and T loops). Lineage: Eukaryota; Metazoa; Chordata; Mammalia; Carnivora; Felidae. The record is from Rfam by way of RNAcentral.